This 253-nucleotide ribosomal RNA is filed under the name uncultured bacterium. Its description in RNAcentral is "partial 16S ribosomal RNA". It matches the Rfam family "Bacterial small subunit ribosomal RNA", at positions 524 to 776 of the family's 1533-position model. The record is from RNAcentral.
UACAGAGGUGGCAAGCGUUGUUCGGAAUUACUGGGCGUAAAGGGCGCGUAGGCGGCCUGUUAAGUCGAACGUGAAAUCCCCGGGCUCAACCCGGGAACUGCGUCCGAUACUGGAUGGCUUGAAUUCGGGAGAGGGAUGCAGAAUUCCAGGUGUAGCGGUGAAAUGCGUAGAUAUCUGGAGGAAUACCGGUGGCGAAGGCGGCAUCCUGGACCGAGAUUGACACUGAUGAGCGAAAGCUAGGGGAGCAAACGGG